RNAcentral lists this transfer RNA (19 nucleotides) under Meloidogyne incognita (southern root-knot nematode). RNAcentral describes it as "partial tRNA-His". Lineage: Eukaryota; Metazoa; Nematoda; Chromadorea; Rhabditida; Meloidogynidae. The record is from RNAcentral.
AAAGCUAUUAAUUUUCAAU